Phascolarctos cinereus (koala) is the source of this 581-nucleotide non-coding RNA. The record is from RefSeq and is a predicted model, not a curated record. Lineage: Eukaryota; Metazoa; Chordata; Mammalia; Diprotodontia; Phascolarctidae.
CUGUCUUUCUGGACUUUGCCACCAUGCCUUAACUACCCUGUCACCUUGGGAAUUCCUUAGCACCUGGGAUCCUCUAAUCCUGGAACAUCCGUUUGCCAUGCCAACCCACCUUUCCCACUGAGGACUUUGUGGAUCCAAAGAAAAGCCACCUCAAUAGAGUUCUCAGCUCGGGGGUGGCUCUGCAGCCAAGGCAGGCCUUGGAGGAGGGCUCUCCCGGUUGCUGGAAAAAUCAUGCAAAGCUUCCUUGGGAUUCAGGUCAAAGCACCAAUGACAAGGGAGCUUCAAGAGAUGGAGCCAACAUGCAUUGAAGUCCCUGGGAGAUGGAACCUUAAGGACUCAGAACUGAAUAUAGUCAAACCAUAUUGGUGUGAAUGACUCCAUGGAAAUGCAGAAAGGAAAGGAAGAGGAGGAAGUUUCCUGGUCAAUAGAGGCACCACAAAUUAUCCAGGUCUAAUUAGAUAAAUCAAAAACACCACAUCUCUGGACUGACAAGACCAAAAAGUAUCAUAUGGUGCAGCUAGGUGGUACAGUGGAUAGACUGUCAGAUCUGGAGUCAGGAAGACCUGAGUCCAACUUCAGCC